AUAGCGUAUAUUAAAGUUGUUGCAGUUAAAAAGCUCGUAGUUGAAUUUCGGGAUCAGUUGGUCGGUCGUGCCUCGGUACGUACUGGUCAAAUUGAUUCCUACCUUCUGACGAACCACGAUGUCAUUAAUUUGGUGUCGUGGGGAAUCAGGACUGUUACUUUGAAAAAAUUAGAGUGUUUAAAGCAGGCUCGCGCUUGAAUACAUUAGCAUGGAAUAAUGAAAUAGGACGUUUGAUUCUAUUUUGUUGGUUUCUAGGAUCGACGUAAUGAUUAAUAGGGAUAGUUGGGGGCAUUGGUAUUCAGUCGCUAGAGGUGAAAUUCUUGGAUUGACUGAAGACCAACUAUUG
RNAcentral lists this ribosomal RNA (346 nucleotides) under uncultured eukaryote. Its description in RNAcentral is "bacterial SSU rRNA". It matches the Rfam family "Eukaryotic small subunit ribosomal RNA", at positions 594 to 945 of the family's 1831-position model. The record is from RNAcentral.